AUGUUAGUAUAAAAGUAAACUCAAUCCUCUGUCUACAACACACCAAACAGGAAUCUGGGUUCACUCUGACAAGGGGCCCAAAACCUGGGGCUUUCCUAUGAACAAAUACCCUACACAA
Camelus dromedarius (Arabian camel) is the source of this 118-nucleotide small nucleolar RNA. NCBI's taxonomy places the organism in Eukaryota, Metazoa, Chordata, Mammalia, Artiodactyla, Camelidae. The record is from Ensembl.